RNAcentral lists this long non-coding RNA (317 nucleotides) under Physcomitrium patens. Its description in RNAcentral is "long non-coding RNA (PPAT_LNC010425)". The record is from RNAcentral. Lineage: Eukaryota; Viridiplantae; Streptophyta; Bryopsida; Funariales; Funariaceae.
UACACCAAUACAUUGCCUAAAUUUCACCUAUAUAUACAACAAAAUCUAAGAAACUUUCAAAGUUAUAAAUAUAUUUUUAUUUUUCAAAUUAUCAUCCCAUCAAGAACAUCAUUAAUUUUAAAAAUCCUUCAAAAUCUAAAUAUUGAAUCAAAUGACAUGAAAACAAUUCCUAAAAAUCUUACUUCUAAUUUUCUCCCAAAUUCUACUCUCCAAUUUUCCAAAGAAUCCUAAAGUCAUGAUAUGGAUGCAGUUUUGUGCCUUAGUGUCUAAUUUUGAUAUAGGUUGAUAAUUAGUCCUCUUCGGGCAUUAAUUUUUGA